GAUGAACGCUGGCGGCGUGCCUAAUACAUGCAAGUCGAGCGAACGGACGAGAAGCUUGCUUUUCUGAUGUUAGCGGCGGACGGGUGAGUAACACGUGGAUAACCUACCUAUAAGACUGGGAUAACUUCGGGAAACCGGAGCUAAUACCGGAUAAUAUUUUGAACCGCAUGGUUCAAAAGUGAAAGACGGUCUUGCUGUCACUUAUAGAUGGAUCCGCGCUGCAUUAGCUAGUUGGUAAGGUAACGGCUUACCAAGGCAACGAUGCAUAGCCGACCUGAGAGGGUGAUCGGCCACACUGGAACUGAGACACGGUCCAGACUCCUACGGGAGGCAGCAGUAGGGAAUCUUCCGCAAUGGGCGAAAGCCUGACGGAGCAACGCCGCGUGAGUGAUGAAGGUCUUCGGAUCGUAAAACUCUGUUAUUAGGGAAGAACAUAUGUGUAAGUAACUGUGCACAUCUUGACGGUACCUAAUCAGAAAGCCACGGCUAACUACGUGCCAGCAGCCGCGGUAAUACGUAGGUGGCAAGCGUUAUCCGGAAUUAUUGGGCGUAAAGCGCGCGUAGGCGGUUUUUUAAGUCUGAUGUGAAAGCCCACGGCUCAACCGUGGAGGGUCAUUGGAAACUGGAAAACUUGAGUGCAGAAGAGGAAGGUGGAAUUCCAUGUGUAGCGGUGAAAUGCGCAGAGAUAUGGAGGAACACCAGUGGCGAAGGCGGCUUUCUGGUCUGUAACUGACGCUGAUGUGCGAAAGCGUGGGGAUCAAACAGGAUUAGAUACCCUGGUAGUCCACGCCGUAAACGAUGAGUGCUAAGUGUUAGGGGGUUUCCGCCCCUUAGUGCUGCAGCUAACGCAUUAAGCACUCCGCCUGGGGAGUACGACCGCAAGGUUGAAACUCAAAGGAAUUGACGGGGACCCGCACAAGCGGUGGAGCAUGUGGUUUAAUUCGAAGCAACGCGAAGAACCUUACCAAAUCUUGACAUCCUUUGACAACUCUAGAGAUAGAGCCUUCCCCUUCGGGGGACAAAGUGACAGGUGGUGCAUGGUUGUCGUCAGCUCGUGUCGUGAGAUGUUGGGUUAAGUCCCGCAACGAGCGCAACCCUUAAGCUUAGUUGCCAUCAUUAAGUUGGGCACUCUAAGUUGACUGCCGGUGACAAACCGGAGGAAGGUGGGGAUGACGUCAAAUCAUCAUGCCCCUUAUGAUUUGGGCUACACACGUGCUACAAUGGACAAUACAAAGGGCAGCGAAACCGCGAGGUCAAGCAAAUCCCAUAAAGUUGUUCUCAGUUCGGAUUGUAGUCUGCAACUCGACUACAUGAAGCUGGAAUCGCUAGUAAUCGUAGAUCAGCAUGCUACGGUGAAUACGUUCCCGGGUCU
RNAcentral lists this ribosomal RNA (1372 nucleotides) under uncultured bacterium. RNAcentral describes it as "bacterial SSU rRNA". It matches the Rfam family "Bacterial small subunit ribosomal RNA", at positions 28 to 1381 of the family's 1533-position model. The record is from RNAcentral.